GAUGAACGCUGGCGGCGUGCCUAAUACAUGCAAGUCGAACGCUCAAGCUUGGUGCUUUCACCGAUCGGAUGAGUUGGAAACGGGUGAGUAACGCGUAGGUAACCUGCCUCUUUGCGGGGGAUAACUAUUGGAAACGACAGCUAAUACCGCAUAAAAGUUGACACUGCAUGAUGUUGAUUUGAAAGAUGCAAUUGCAUCAUUAAGAGAUGGACCUGCGUUGUAUUAGUUAGUUGGUGAAGUAACGGCUCACCAAAGCGACGAUACAUAGUCGACCUGAGAGGGGUGUCGGGCACACUGGGAAUGGGACAAGGCCCAGACACCCACGGGGGGGAGAAGGGGGGGAUCUUUGGGAAAGGGCGGAAAUCUGACCGGGCAACGCCGCGGGGGUGAAAAAAGUUUUCGGGUCGUAAAAAUCUGUUUUAAGGGGAAAACGAAGGUGGGAGUGAAAAGUUCGCACUGUGACGGUAACUUAACAGAAAGGCACGGCUAACUACGUG
Molecule: ribosomal RNA, 497 nt
Filed under: uncultured bacterium
Lineage: Bacteria
Description: partial 16S ribosomal RNA
Rfam family: Bacterial small subunit ribosomal RNA
Source: RNAcentral